CGACCCCGCCGGUCCCUGCUCUGUCGUGGGUUCGGGGCCUUGGGGCGGCGCUGAGCCCCGGGCCGUGCGCUCACCGGCUCGCUCCUCGGUGGGGCUGAACGCGCGGCAGAGCUUAGGAAGCGCCGCUGUAGGACAGGAAUCAGCAGAUCACGCCUGUGGCCUAUUUCCUCUUUUGAAAAUUAUAGUUUACGAAUUUUUAACCAACAGAAUCGGAGUAUUUCAAGGGCUCAGUAUUGCGUCUGAGCAGCGCGUGUGAACAGCGUGUGACGAUCAGGUCAAGGCACUGGCGUAAUCGGUGAAUUAGAGUUAUCCUGCCCAGCAGCGCUCGUGCGCGUGCACCCCCUCCCUGGCCCGCCACACACCCCUGUGCUUACCGCUGGGUGGCAUCAACUUUUAGCCUCCUCAUGUAAGUAGACCGCGUGCUCUGUCUUUCCGUGCUGGGCUUGUGACCACGCCAAGGCCACGCUCCGCUCCUUUAUGCGGCUGGCUACUCUUCCGUUGUUUUACAGCGCAUCUCUGUUAUCCGCCAGUGGACGCUCGGUUGGGUCCUGGGCUGUUGUGAAUAGUAUAGUCCUCAGCCUGUUUGCAAACAAAAUGUCUUGGCACACAGUCAUUCCUCUUCGUGUACCUGCAGGGAGAGCUGUGACAGACGUAGCCCUUGACGUCCUCUCUGGCCUCUGAUGAAAGCUUGCCGACUGCUGCCGUAAAGGAGAGAGGAACAGGAAGACGCCAGGAGCUGCGCCUGUCACGCCAUGCGCGUCCCUGCCAUUGCAGCCCCGUGCCCCCCCCCCCCCCCGUGGUGAAGUGAAAGAGAAAUUUUUUAGGCUACUGUUAGGAGGGUGUGUCUGUGACAACAUCAGAAUGAGUACAGCCUACCCCCGUUGUCAAGACUGUUGUAGAACUUUUGAUAAAAUCUGAGGAAAGGUUUGUGCAGGGGUGAGCCUGGGGGUUAGAAUCACAUGGCAGUUAAAGCACUGCAUUGGGCUUUCACCACUAUAAGGAAAUAGCUGACACAGGCUACUUAUGAAGAAAGAGGUUUAUUUCGCUCUCCAUUCUAAAGGUUUAAAGUCCAAACAGCAUAAGGCAGGCUUUGUGGCAGGGCAGCCCCUUGGCCUCUCCUCAGGGCCAGUAGUGAUGUUGGGGAUGUGUUUGGGCGAGAAAGCAGAGACAGCUGGGAGGAGCCAGCUUUGCUCUUUUUAUAACAACCCUCUUGGAUGAGCGGGGCGUGGUGGCCCCUGCGUGUAAUCCCAGCACUUGGGAGGCUGAGGCAGUAGGAUCACCAAAGAGUUCAAGACCAGCCUGGCUACAUAUUGAGUUCAGGGCCAGCCUGAACUGCAAAGGGAGACUCUGUCUCAACAACAACAACAACAAAACCCAACCAAACAAAAAAACAACCCUCUUGGGAGAACUACUUCCUGAGGGUGCACCCCAGUGACCUAACUUCCUCCCUCAGGCCGCUCCUCCUGAAGGUCCCCCCCCCAUAGCACCACCCUGUGACCAAGCCUCCAAUGUCUGAAGUUCUGGGGAGGCAGUGAUACCACGGUUUUUACAUACCAAGUGAACUUUCACACCGCACCCUCCUUGGUGUAUAGAUAGGUCUCCACUUGACAAGCAGCACACACUGGAUGAGGCCAGUCCUGGGGAGACCUGAGCAUCACCCCAGUAAUGAAAGAGGUGAAGGAGAAAACCGAACCUGGCUUCCAGCCUAUUUCAGAGGAGGACCCAUGAGAGCGUAGCCUCUGGGAGCAGUCUUCCCACACUUUAACUCCAGUGCCACCAGAAACUAAAAGAAGAAAACACAUACUUUACCCAGAAGUAUUGCAUCUGGUGGUUGGAUAUUUAUUCAUUCCCUGUAGCCGAAGACCUUUAAACCAUUCCAGGAGGAGACUUCGCUCUUGAGAUUGAGGAGGCUCCUGUCCAUUGCGUGCUCAAACACAUUUCUGUAACAAAAGGAGCCUGGAGUCUGGUGCCCAAGGCCAUCUUGUAUUCUAGACUCACAGUGCUGCC
This is a long non-coding RNA of Heterocephalus glaber (naked mole-rat), 2007 nucleotides long. Lineage: Eukaryota; Metazoa; Chordata; Mammalia; Rodentia; Bathyergidae. The record is from Ensembl.